This 497-nucleotide ribosomal RNA is filed under the name uncultured bacterium. RNAcentral's name for it is "partial 16S ribosomal RNA". It matches the Rfam family "Bacterial small subunit ribosomal RNA", at positions 28 to 507 of the family's 1533-position model. The record is from RNAcentral.
GAUGAACGCUGGCGGCGUGCCUAAUACAUGCAAGUCGAGCGAACAGACGAGGAGCUUGCUCCUCUGACGUUAGCGGCGGACGGGUGAGUAACACGUGGAUAACCUACCUAUAAGACUGGGAUAACUUCGGGAAACCGGAGCUAAUACCGGAUAAUAUAUUGAACCGCAUGGUUCAAUAGUGAAAGACGGUUUUGCUGUCACUUAUAGAUGGAUCCGCGCCGCAUUAGCUAGUUGGUAAGGUAACGGCUUACCAAGGCAACGAUGCGUAGCCGACCUGAGAGGGUGAUCGGCCACACUGGAACUGAGACACGGUCCAGGCUCCUACGGGAGGCAGCAGUAGGGAAUCUUCCGCAAUGGGCGAAAGCCUGACGGAGCAACGCCGCGUGAGUGAUGAAGGUCUUCGGAUCGUAAAGCUCUGUUAUUAGGGAAGAACAAAUGUGUAAGUAACUAUGCACGUCUUGACGGUACCUAAUCAGAAAGCCACGGCUAACUACGUG